This 492-nucleotide ribosomal RNA is filed under the name uncultured bacterium. Its description in RNAcentral is "partial 16S ribosomal RNA". It matches the Rfam family "Bacterial small subunit ribosomal RNA", at positions 29 to 507 of the family's 1533-position model. The record is from RNAcentral.
AGUGAACGCUGGCGGUAGGCCUAACACAUGCAAGUCGAACGGCAGCACAGUAAGAGCCUGCUCUUACGGGUGGCGAGUGGCGGACGGGUGAGGAAUACAUCGGAAUCUACUUUUUCGUGGGGGAUAACGUAGGGAAACUUACGCUAAUACCGCAUACGACCUACGGGUGAAAGCAGGGGAUCUUCGGACCUUGCGCGAUUGAAUGAGCCGAUGUCGGAUUAGCUAGUUGGCGGGGUAAGGGCCCACCAAGGCGACGAUCCGUAGCUGGUCUGAGAGGAUGAUCAGCCACACUGGAACUGAGACACGGUCCAGACUCCUACGGGAGGCAGCAGUGGGGAAUAUUGGACAAUGGGCGCAAGCCUGAUCCAGCCAUACCGCGUGGGUGAAGAAGGCCUUCGGGUUGUAAAGCCCUUUUGUUGGGAAAGAAAAGCAGCAGGUUAAUACCCCGCUGUUCUGACGGUACCCAAAGAAUAAGCACCGGCUAACUUCGUG